CCACAGUACAGUGAACAGGCAAAGUGCUAAGAUCAUAGUACAUUUUCCCUAGCCCUCUAUGACCCCCUCAGUUCUGAUGUCUCAGCCUGUCGUAGGCAGGUCAGUUUUAGGUUAGUCUGUCCUUCCUUUCAUUUCAGUCCCAGAUUCCCUGUCAGCUCCUUGUCCAGGAAUCUACUCUCUGUCUCUUACAUUUGGAUAGGAAAUACUGAUGCCUUCCCUUUAACAGAUUUUUAAACAGUCAAAGUCCUUUAUAAAAUUAGGUCCAAGAAUCUGGAACCAUUCAGAAGUUAUUUAAUUGGAAGUUAAAUUUUUAAACGUUGUCUUCAGGCCUUGGUGUCUACUCAGGGAAGAAAAGCAAUGGUGCACAUAUGGACACUGCACAGCAGGAGGAAGUGACGUCAACUGCAGUUUGCCACGACAGUGCCUGUUCCCUCGGGCCUCCUGUAUGCUGUUCCUUCUGAGCUCUCCUCCCAUGUUUUCGCCAUACCACAGCAAGUACAAAGUUCCUGUUGCGGUCAUCUUCAGGAAAGGGGUGAAAGUGUGACUCAAAGACUGGAAGGCAGCACCAGCUGGUUAGGUGAGCCAGCACUUGGUUUCAUGUGUUGUGAGCCUACAGUGGUACCCUGGGACCCAGGUCAUAGAAAAAGGCCUUUGCAAGUAGAAGGAGAGUCUGGGGGCCUUCUGAGUUUUGCUUUAUGUUAGAUGUGUAGUUCUAUUAAUGGCUAGAGUUUGUAGAGUGCUUGCAGUUCAUUUAAUCCUGCAGUGACUCCACGGGAAUACAGUUGAUCAGAUGAGGAAGCAGGUUUAGAAGAAUAAGGGCAUGUUAGACCCUGACAUAGCUGAGCCCAUUGACACAUUUAGCCCAUUGCAGCUUAGUGGUUUGGAGGAGGAGCUGGAGAUUGGCCAGCUCUGUGGUGCUCUGAUGCCACUGAUCCCAGGGGCUGCUGUCUGUGCUCUGCACUAUCACAUCUGAGCCAUAGUUCACCAAAUGGAAGGAAGCCAGCUUGUACUUACAAUGCGUUACUACUAUCCCCCACAGCUCUGUGAGACUCACUCCCUCAAUGAAGCAAUCUUUUUCUCACCCAGAUAGCUUUACUAGUGUGAAAGUUUUCCUUUUCCCUUUUGCCUCAGAGUAGUCUGACCCCCUGGAGGCAGCACAGCAAAGGCCCUAGAACCAACUGGCCUGUGCUCCAGCCUUCACUGUUCUCUUUCAUCAGUUCCUCACCUUUUAAAGAUGAGAGCGAUGUCAUGUGCCCCAGAGGACUGUCGGCAGUUAAGUGAGUUAAUAGAUGGGACACACAGAAGGUGCCCAGCACACAAUGUGUGUAUGUGUGGGCAAGUUACCUGUCACCGUUAUUAGUAAAUCAUUAGAGUGCCCUUGAGUGCAGAGGCCAUGCCCUCUGGAAUUCUACCCAACAAGUGUGAUCUCUUCUGCCCUUCAAAUGUUUGAAAACUCCUCAAAUUUCCAUUGAGCCUUGCUCUCCACAGUAAGAGUCUCCAGCCUUCAUUCACGUGGUUCUCCGUACCUUAGGAGCAGCACGUGGCUGUCCUGUCCCCAUGCUGCUGGAAAGGUAGCAGACAGUGUGGGCAUGGAGUGCCUUCCUCCAGCAGUCUCUGUCUCGUUCUUCUCGGGCUACAGUGCUGUGAUAUAUAGUCAUCUGCUCCCAACUCUGAAACUUUCCUGUCAGAACGCUCGUUCACUCUUUAGGGAGUCUGUUGUAUUCUCUGUCCCUGACGCCCUCAGGUGAAAAUUGGAAGCCCAAAAGCAGAAAUGCUAAGUCAGUGGAUCUGAAAAGGCAUUAAAAUGUCAGAUAUGUA
Mus caroli (Ryukyu mouse) is the source of this 1818-nucleotide long non-coding RNA. RefSeq lists it as uncharacterized. The record is from RefSeq and is a predicted model, not a curated record. Lineage: Eukaryota; Metazoa; Chordata; Mammalia; Rodentia; Muridae.